RNAcentral lists this ribosomal RNA (718 nucleotides) under Torresitrachia sp. 'spr'. Its description in RNAcentral is "partial 16S ribosomal RNA". The stretch from base 334 to 477 matches the Rfam family "Archaeal large subunit ribosomal RNA", at positions 1889 to 2083 of the family's 2987-position model. The record is from RNAcentral. Lineage: Eukaryota; Metazoa; Mollusca; Gastropoda; Stylommatophora; Camaenidae.
CACGAAUUCGUUUGAGUUAACUGUCUUCUAAGGUAAUGUAGCAUAAGUAUCAUUUGAAAGUCAGUUAGGGGUGAUAGGCCGCCAAAUGCGAGGAUAUCUUGAUGUAGGUGAAAAGUAUUUAGUACAUAUACAGCCAGGUGGUUAUAAGAUCUCCUGGGCGGUUUAAAGUUUAUUAAUCAUAAAUGUUGAUAUAGAAAUCUGCAUAUUUAAUUAAUUAAUAUUUAAAUAGUAUGGUUUACUUAAUUAGCCUACGUUCGAAUAAUUUUGAGAUGAGUCAUUAUGUUAAUAUGAGUAUUAUAUAGGUGUUCAUAGUGAACUCGGCAAUAAAGUUUUCAACUGUUUAUCAAAAACAUAGCCUUAUGUUACAUAUAAGGUGACUCCUGCUCAAUGAUGUUUAAAUAGCCGCAGUACUCUGACUGUGCAAAGGUAGCGCAAUCAAUUGGCUCUUAAUUGGAGUCGUGUAUGAAGGGACGUAUGGGGGCUUGCUUUACCAUGGGUAUUAAUUAAAAAUUACUUAGGGGGUGAAAAUUCCCUCAUAGUAACAAUAGACGAGAAGACCCUUGAAAUUUGUGGUGACGUUUUGUUGGGGCAACAUUGUAGUGGAAACCUACAUGAUUUAUAUGAAAUAUAAUUGAUCGAAUAAAUUACUCAAGGGAUAACAGCGUAAUUUAUAAAUGUUUGCGACCUCGAUGUUGGAUUAGGAAACUAUAGCUUAGAA